This is an RNA transcript of Folsomia candida, 1877 nucleotides long. RefSeq lists it as uncharacterized. NCBI's taxonomy places the organism in Eukaryota, Metazoa, Arthropoda, Collembola, Entomobryomorpha, Isotomidae. The transcript is spliced from 4 exons. The record is from RefSeq and is a predicted model, not a curated record.
GGGUCCUAGUAGAUUCUAAAAAACAUAGUGGGUACCCUGGACACGAUAAGCAGUCGAGGACCUUCCCUUGCUAGACUUAAAACAGCUCAAGGCCGAGUUCACCACAAAGAUUAUACAAGCCGAAGACCCCAACGGGUCACUACUUUACCCAGAGCUACAACAGACUGUCGUAUCUUGGUGUGGUUUUCUAUUUUGGAAAAAAUGUGCCAAGUUUUAAACUCCCAAUCCGUGUCCAUGCCAUGGACCACGGUGAUCUAGACACACCCACGGGAACGGCAUAUAUCGCAUCGCUAGCUAAUCAAAGGUGGGAAUUUGGAUCAAAAGUUUUAUGGGAGGUGGUUAUAAUUCCUGGAAAAGGAUAUUUCCACCUCAUCCUACGCUACCAUCACUCACUCCUUGAUGGGUAUUCCAUGCUUAAAUUAUUGGAUAAAAUCAGUCACCCCAAGCUUAUUGAUCAGAUAGUGAAACCAAAAAUAUCUGCUGCAAAGACCACAAGAUUUACAAGUUUUCCCAUCCUCCUGGUCAAGAUCCCGUAUGAUGUCGCUCUAUAUUUCGAGGCUUAUCUAAGAACUUGGAUCACUACUGAGGACAUCUUUACCCCGACUUGUACCUCCACCUUGACUCGAACUUCCACCUUUGCACAAAGCCUAUCCCCUCUAAAUCUUCUCCAAAUGAAAAACUCAGCGAAGGCUGAAAGCCUUUCUUUCACAGCAUUUUUGUUCUCCAGCCUGACCAGUUCGAUAAGAAGGUUAGUUUUGAAAAGAGAUGGAAAAGUAGAGGGAAACAUUCUCUUCCAUUUUCCCAUGCCGGUUCCCAAUCAUCCCGCAAAACUGAGAAAUGCUGGACAAUGGGGUGGAUAGAACUACCAAUCCAAGAGAUUGACCUCACCACCAGGAUUAAACAAAUUGAAGAGCAACUAAGCAACUUGAAAAAUUCUACGAUGCCAAUUGUAAUGACGAUGCUGGGAACUCUUUGGUCCGCACAAUUACCACUAUUUCUCAGAUCUGUGAUCAAUUCAGGAUCCAAGGGGAGGACGAUAUUAUCAUUUUCUAAUUUUAUGUUCAAUCGCGCCCCUGAAAAUUUAUGGGACUCCUUUCAACACUGGGGGCAGCAAGGUUGUGUUAAUCGGAAUGUUCACCAGUGAAGAGGACGCCUGGUUAAGUACAACCGGUGACACGGGUAUCUUGAAAGCAAAUGUGGCACGAGAGAUUUUGGACGCGAUGGCGACAAAUGUAUCCUCAAAUGUUAAAGAGAAUCGUGAAGGGCAACAUAUAAAAGUGGGUUUAGCUGAUAAUUCAGAGUUUUGUUAAGCAAAAAUAUUUAUGGUGAAGAUAAUAAAUUCAGAUGUAUUAAUUUUCCACAAAUUUAAGGAGUACUUUUAUGGUACAAAAUUGCUACAUCGUUCUACAGUGGGUAAAUGAUGAGAAAUUAUUCAGAGUAUUUCCCAACAAUGUGAGCUCUAGAAAUUAUGUACAUAUUGAAACGAGUUCUAUAAUGGUGAUGCAAUACUUGGCAAUAAAAUGCAUAAAAGUUUCCCUUCUUUUAUUUAUUUUUCUAACUUUAGUCUACUAAAUAGAUUGGCAGCACAGCUGACAGCUCUUUACCUCUGGAUGAUGCAUCCACCCAGGUCUCCCUUGUGCAGUACUUCCAGUGCGCGGGUGUGGGUGGAGGUGCACUCCUAACUUGCAGAUAGUGGGAGGAGGAACAGAAUUCUGCAUGGGAGGACGACGGUUAAACAAAAUACGAGUAAAAAGUAAAGGCAGAAUGUUAAAUAUUGUUCUUCACCCAUACUAAGAUAGUUCCAGUCAUGAAGGUAUAAAAUUUAUAUUUUAAUUAUGUGGUGAAGUAUCAGGUUAUUUUGUUUGUGUGUUUUUUAA